AUUGAACGCUGGCGGCAUGCUUUACACAUGCAAGUCGAACGGCAGCGCGGGCUUUGGCCUGGCGGCGAGUGGCGAACGGGUGAGUAAUGCAUCGGAACGUGCCCAGUAGUGGGGGAUAGCCCGUCGAAAGCCGGAGUAAUACCGCAGACGACCUGAGGGUGAAAGCGGGGGAGCGAAAGGCCUCGCGCUAGUGGAGCGGCCGAUGUCGGAUUAGCUAGUUGGUGGGGUAAAGGCUUACCAAGGCGGCGAUCCGUUGCUGGUCUGAGAGGACGACAAGCCACACUGGGAGUGAGACAGGGCCCAGACGCCUGCGGGAGGGCGCAGUGGGGAAUUUUGGACAAUGGUGGCAACCCUUGUCCAGCCAUGCCGCGUGCGAGAAGAAGGCCUUCGGGUUGUAAACCGCUUUUGUUCGGUGAGAACUCCUUUGGGCUAAUACCCCGGGGGGAUGACGGUACCGGAAGAAUAAGCACCGGCUAACUACGUG
This 484-nucleotide ribosomal RNA is filed under the name uncultured bacterium. Its description in RNAcentral is "partial 16S ribosomal RNA". It matches the Rfam family "Bacterial small subunit ribosomal RNA", at positions 28 to 507 of the family's 1533-position model. The record is from RNAcentral.